UUGAUCUCAAAUCAGGUAGGACUACCCGCUGAACUUAAGCAUAUCAAUAAGCGGAGGAAAAGAAACUAACAAGGAUUCCCCUAGUAACUGCGAGUGAAGCGGGAUGAGCUCAAAUUUAAAAUCUGGCGUGCCUCUGGUCGUCCGAGUUGUAGUCUGGAGAAGCGUUUUCCGUGUGGGACCGUGUAUAAGUCUCUUGGAACAGGGCGUCAUAGAGGGUGAGAAUCCCGUCUUUGACACGGACUACCAAUGCUUUGUGAUGCGCUCUCAAAGAGUCGAGUUGUUUGGGAAUGCAGCUCAAAAUGGGUGGUAAAUUCCAUCUAAAGCUAAAUAUAGGCGAGAGACCGAUAGCGAACAAGUACCGUGAGGGAAAGAUGAAAAGCACUUUGGGAAAGAGAGUUAAACAGUACGUGAAAUGCUGAAAGGGAACGC
Molecule: ribosomal RNA, 429 nt
Filed under: uncultured fungus
Lineage: Eukaryota; Fungi
Description: eukaryotic LSU rRNA
Rfam family: Eukaryotic large subunit ribosomal RNA
Source: RNAcentral